UUUUACCUAGGGCAACACAUCUUUAACCAUGCUUCAGAAAGGUAACAAGGAAUACAAACCCAAUAUAGCGCCACUCUAUGAAACCAAGCAAAUGCUAAGAAAAGACUUAUCUAGCCACUUUUUAUGAUUCUAAAAAAGGCAAAUAAUAUCUUGCUAACUAAAAUUCUAAUAAAUAAUAGUGGAGAGUUGUUGAAAGUUAAACCAA
RNAcentral lists this long non-coding RNA (205 nucleotides) under Elaeis guineensis (African oil palm). RNAcentral's name for it is "long non-coding RNA (EGUI_LNC003916)". The record is from RNAcentral. Lineage: Eukaryota; Viridiplantae; Streptophyta; Magnoliopsida; Arecales; Arecaceae.